Transfer RNA from Pseudomassariella vexata, 96 nucleotides. It matches the Rfam family "tRNA". Rfam says of the family: Transfer RNA (tRNA) molecules are approximately 80 nucleotides in length. Lineage: Eukaryota; Fungi; Ascomycota; Sordariomycetes; Amphisphaeriales; Pseudomassariaceae. The record is from Rfam.
GGCAACCUGGCCGAGCGGUCUAAGGCGCUAGCUUCAGGAAAUAUUCCAAUAAUGCUAGUCUCGCAAGAGGCGUGAGUUCGAAUCUCACGGUUGUCA